Non-coding RNA from Desertifilum sp., 37 nucleotides. The record is from Rfam. NCBI's taxonomy places the organism in Bacteria, Bacillati, Cyanobacteriota, Cyanophyceae, Desertifilales, Desertifilaceae.
AUUGCAAUUACUCCUAAUCCCUAUUAGGGAUUGAAAC